GAUGAAGAACGCAGCGAAAUGCGAUAGGUAAUGUGAAUUGCAGAAUUCAGUGAAUCAUCGAAUCUUUGAACGCACAUUGCGCCCGCCAGUAUUCUGGCGGGCAUGCCUGUUCGAGCGUCAUUUCAACCAUCAAGCCCCCGGCUUGUGUUGGGGACCUGCGGCUGCCGCAGGCCCUGAAAAGCAGUGGCGGGCUCGCUGUCACACCGAGCGUAGUAGCAUACAUCUCGCUCUGGGCGUGCUGCGGGUUCCGGCCGUUAAACCACCUUCAUAACCCAAGGUUGACCUCGGAUCAGGUAGGAAGACCCGCUGAACUUAAGCAUAUCAAUAAGCGGAGGA
RNAcentral lists this unclassified non-coding RNA (336 nucleotides) under soil metagenome. Its description in RNAcentral is "partial contains 5.8S ribosomal RNA, internal transcribed spacer 2, and large subunit ribosomal RNA". The stretch from base 1 to 120 matches the Rfam family "5.8S ribosomal RNA", at positions 35 to 154 of the family's 154-position model. The record is from RNAcentral.